CCUGGCUGGCUUAGUCAGCGGAGUAUAUAGUUUUUGAACUCAGAGUUUUGAUUUCAAGCCCCAUAUUGGAUG
This 72-nucleotide transfer RNA is filed under the name Felis catus (domestic cat). RNAcentral's name for it is "tRNA-OTHER". The record is from RNAcentral. Lineage: Eukaryota; Metazoa; Chordata; Mammalia; Carnivora; Felidae.